UGGGCGUUAAGUUGCAGGGUAUAGACCCGAAACCCGGUGAUCUAGCCAUGGGCAGGUUGAAGGUUGGGUAACACUAACUGGAGGACCGAACCGACUAAUGUUGAAAAAUUAGCGGAUGACCUGUGGCUGGGGGUGAAAGGCCAAUCAAACCGGGAGAUAGCUGGUUCUCCCCGAAAGCUAUUUAGGUAGCGCCUCGUGAACUCAUCUCCGGGGGUAGAGCACUGUUUCGGCUAGGGGGCCAUCCCGGCUUACCAACCCGAUGCAAACUGCGAAUACCGGAGAAUGUUAUCACGGGAGACACACGGCGGGUGCUAACGUCCGUCGUGAAGAGGGAAACAACCCAGACCGCCAGCUAAGGUCCCAAAGUCAUGGUUAAGUGGGAAACGAUGUGGGAAGGCCCAGACAGCCAGGAUGUUGGCUUAGAAGCAGCCAUCAUUUAAAGAAAGCGUAAUAGCUCACUGGUCGAGUCGGCCUGCGCGGAAGAUGUAACGGGGCUAAACCAUGCAC
RNAcentral lists this ribosomal RNA (507 nucleotides) under Salmonella enterica. RNAcentral's name for it is "partial 23S ribosomal RNA". It matches the Rfam family "Bacterial large subunit ribosomal RNA", at positions 689 to 1194 of the family's 2925-position model. Lineage: Bacteria; Pseudomonadati; Pseudomonadota; Gammaproteobacteria; Enterobacterales; Enterobacteriaceae. The record is from RNAcentral.